GUAUUUGUUGCAUGUUGAAAACAUCAGACAUCGUCCGAUCACCGAAAUUAAACAACGUCAUAUCUGGUCAGUACUUGGGAGGGUGACCUCUUGGGGACACCGGGGCUUCUCUUUUCU
Molecule: non-coding RNA, 117 nt
Organism: Cordylochernes scorpioides
Lineage: Eukaryota; Metazoa; Arthropoda; Arachnida; Pseudoscorpiones; Chernetidae
Source: the annotation of a GenBank genome assembly